GACGAACGCUGGCGGCGUGCUUAACACAUGCAAGUCGAACGGAAAGGCCCUGCUUUUGUGGGGUGCUCGAGUGGCGAACGGGUGAGUAACACGUGAGUAACCUGCCCUUGACUUUGGGAUAACUUCAGGAAACUGGGGUUAAUACCGGAUAGGAGCUCCUGUUGCAUGGUGGGGGUUGGAAAUUUUCGGCGGUUGGGGUUGGACUCGCGGCUUAUCAGCUUGUUGGUGGGGUGGUGGCUUACCAAGCCUUGGACGGGUAGCCGGCCUGAGAGGGUGACCGGCCACAUUGGGACUGAGAUACGGCCCAGACUCCUACGGGAGGCAGCAGUGGGGAAUAUUGCACAAUGGGCGGAAGCCUGAUGCAGCAACGCCGCGUGCGGGAUGACGGCCUUCGGGUUGUAAACCGCUUUCGCCUGUGACGAAGCGUGAGUGACGGUAAUGGGUAAAGAAGCACCGGCUAACUACGUG
RNAcentral lists this ribosomal RNA (468 nucleotides) under uncultured bacterium. Its description in RNAcentral is "partial 16S ribosomal RNA". It matches the Rfam family "Bacterial small subunit ribosomal RNA", at positions 28 to 507 of the family's 1533-position model. The record is from RNAcentral.